Molecule: ribosomal RNA, 503 nt
Filed under: Xanthomonas sp.
Lineage: Bacteria; Pseudomonadati; Pseudomonadota; Gammaproteobacteria; Lysobacterales; Lysobacteraceae
Description: bacterial SSU rRNA
Rfam family: Bacterial small subunit ribosomal RNA
Source: RNAcentral
CUCAGAGUGAACGCUGGCGGCAGGCCUAACACAUGCAAGUCGAACGGCAGCACAGUAAGAGCUUGCUCUUAUGGGUGGCGAGUGGCGGACGGGUGAGGAAUACAUCGGAAUCUACUCUUUCGUGGGGGAUAACGUAGGGAAACUUACGCUAAUACCGCAUACGACCUACGGGUGAAAGCGGAGGACCUUCGGGCUUCGCGCGAUUGAAUGAGCCGAUGUCGGAUUAGCUAGUUGGCGGGGUAAAGGCCCACCAAGGCGACGAUCCGUAGCUGGUCUGAGAGGAUGAUCAGCCACACUGGAACUGAGACACGGUCCAGACUCCUACGGGAGGCAGCAGUGGGGAAUAUUGGACAAUGGGCGCAAGCCUGAUCCAGCCAUGCCGCGUGGGUGAAGAAGGCCUUCGGGUUGUAAAGCCCUUUUGUUGGGAAAGAAAAGCAGUCGGUUAAUACCCGAUUGUUCUGACGGUACCCAAAGAAUAAGCACCGGCUAACUUCGUGCCAGCA